Alligator mississippiensis (American alligator) is the source of this 1880-nucleotide long non-coding RNA. RefSeq lists it as uncharacterized. The record is from RefSeq and is a predicted model, not a curated record. Lineage: Eukaryota; Metazoa; Chordata; Crocodylia; Alligatoridae. The transcript has 3 exons.
UUACAUGUCACAUGAUGCUGCUCUGCUUCCUGAAUAAAUAAAUGUAUAUGCACGUAUUUUAAGUUUUUUCACAACUAAUUUAUGAAUAUAUACUUAAAUUUCACUUCUUGUAAAUAUUCAAGGUAGAAGAAUGCUUUAAUUUAUCUGUGGAUAUAAAUACAACACACAAAGAUCCUGGGUAUAGUUGAAGUGAUUUCAUAAGCUUGAGAAAAUAUUUGGGUACAUAGUUUUCUUGAACAAAGCAUGAAACCAUAUGAAAGAAGAAAAGAAAAUGGUUGGACAUAUUACAUUUUGAAGAUGUAGGGGAAUUGAGUUACAGAUGUCCUGUGUAACCCCAUAAAGAUUAAUGCACACUGAUGAAUCACUGACUGUGGGAUCUCCCACUGGACAACAGGAUGAAGAAGAACAUCACAAUAGAGAUCGAUACAUUUGUCACUGCACAGCAAAAAACAAGGCAGCUGCUCUGCUAGACAUCUUACAGUAACCCACUCCUGCUGCCUCUUCUGCUAUUCUUGCACUUGGGACAGCUGCUAUUCCACUUGGGAAGGCACUUUAUUGUCUGGAGGUGACAACUCACAAGUACUCUUACCCAUCUAUUUUUUAUCCACUGUGAUGACUUGCCAACCCUAUCAUGCUCACUAACUAUGUACUUGAGGAUAUAUUUUCACCAAUCACUUCCACUCAUGCAUUCAAGCACAGCACCAGCUGGAAUCAGGAGGAAUGAAGUGUUAGUGCACAUAUGGUAACCACGUGGUCUUCAAGUGAAUUUUCCAGAGAAAUGGCAGCCUGCGGUUACAAUCGUGACUGCCAGCAAUACCACUUGCAGACCAAGGUACUGAAGUUGUGGUACAAGUGGGCCAAUGAUGCAAACCACAGUUUUGGUGCAUACAGGAUUAUGUGAACCUUCUUUGAAGAGCUGUCCUAACAUCCUAGUGUUGAGCUAAAGUUAAUGUUCCUUUAUAUACUCUUGAUAUUGUCUUUAUAAUAUCCUUUAUUGCUUUGUUAAUUAUUAUUGUAUAACCAAUAUCCAUUUUAGUUUCCUUAAAUAACUGUGUAACUUAGCCUUAGUUGAGAAUCCAUUUUGAUUUUUACAUUGCUUAGCAUAAGUGUAACAGUCAUUUUGGUUUGUGAUUUUGUAGGUUAAACAUAGUAUAAGAGAAGUAGUGUGUAUGCAAGGUUGUGGUAUGUCUGGGAUGUUUGAAAAGAGGUAAUGAAAAAAUAAACAAUGUGUGUGGAAAUGCAUGUGUUGAGAUAGUGUAUCUUGCACCUAAGACUAAAAGGAUGGAAAUAGACUUCUGUGAUUUAAUAACCACAGGUUAUAACAAUGUCCAAGAUCAGCACUUAAGAAUUACAAAAUACAAGAUCGUGUUUUGUUCCAGUGGCUGAAGAAAUUGCUGACAACUGGUGAAAAAAAUUGCAGACCACAAAGAAAGAAGAGUUUGUCAAUCAUAACAUUGUAACUGAAGAGGAGGAUCAUUUCCACAUUGAGAGGACAUGACACAGCAAGACCCAUAGACUUGUAUGGGGAAAAAUCACUAUAAAGAUGGGCAAGAACAAAGAGGCUUUGGGUCUGUCCCGCACAGAAGACAAAGAAGCAUCAGAAUGCAUAUGACAAGACCUGGCUUCAUUCUCGUAGUUAACUUGGCUGGCCACCAAGCUAACCCGAGCAUCUAAAGGACUGGUAAUAUCUUGAUAUAUGCAGGACUGUCUGUCUGUCUCCUUUUAUAUGUAUGUGAAUAAAUGGCUAUGAAUGUUUGAGUGUAUGAGCAUGUACGUGUUAGUGUAUGAAAGAGGAAACACCACCUUUUUGUUGUUUUUUCUUUUAUUUUGUUUGUCUUAUGUUUUCAAUAAAUGCAGCAUUGUGCCUUAUCUCCUAAUAA